GGGAGAUGAAGGAGAAUGUGGGGCAUCUUAAGUGUCUGGGUGGUGACUUCCUCCCUAGAUGGCUCAGGGAAACCUGUUUCCGUCUCGUGAUUAGAACAACCUGUGUUCUGUAACGCGAGGUGUUCAAACAGCAAGAUGGGCAGUGCUAUCUCCCAGGAUGCUGAAGGCUUAAUUAACAUUUGAAAAUGCUUUGAGAUCUUUGGAUAACAACUGUAAAUGAAAGGAAUAACUUGGCCUACAGCUUAGCAACCACCACCAUCGUUAACUGCUGACCCACGUGCGGAGCCCUCAGUGCAAAGUCCUCUCUGCUCCCCAAGCCUGCAAUCCCAGCCGCAGCCCCGGGGCCUGGAAACUCCGGCCGAUUUAUUAAAGCGUCCUCCCUGUCUGCCACCAUCAGGCUAGAAUUGUUCCGAACAAAAGAAGCAUGAAUUGCUGGAAACUAUAUAUUAAAUGCAAGACUAUUUGUCUAGUUUUCAUUGGGUGCUGAGUGAAGAGCCUCAACUCCUCGUAUUCCCAUGGUACUCAGAUGUCCGCGGAGUCCGCUGCUCCUCACACUGUCAUUUCUCUCACUGGGCACAAUCCGGCUUUAAAGAAUCCGACACUUACUGGUCUUUAUGGAACUGUCAGCAGUGACAGCAACCAGGGACACUGCCAUGUCUUGCUGUUUACAAAGGAUGAGCACAACAAGGCAUCUCGAUGACUUGAUAAGCCCUGAGCUCCUCUCUCCCCAACUCUGGCCUCUCUGGACCAGCGGCCUUUGCAUGGCCAGCUAAAGACACAAGAAUUAAAACUUGAUCCAAACACUAACAAGUCUGCAACCACGGCCAUGAAGAUAAAGUAGGGCUGCUCAAGGUUGCUUGGUAAACAGCGAAAACAGAGAAACAGGAGGAUCCUUAUAUGCACAGGUUAUUUUUCUUUCAGUAUACUUAAAAUUUAGUGGAAAGAAAUCCUAGGCUAGCAUUAAAUUCAUAGAUUAUUAUUAUGGUCUUGAAUAGUUCAUCUUGUUUUCUCACUCUGACACUCCUUCACUUCUUUAGAAAUUCCAGC
RNAcentral lists this long non-coding RNA (1047 nucleotides) under Heterocephalus glaber (naked mole-rat). Its description in RNAcentral is "lncRNA (ENSHGLG00000041862.1)". The record is from RNAcentral. Lineage: Eukaryota; Metazoa; Chordata; Mammalia; Rodentia; Bathyergidae.